AUGACAAUUAACCACAACCAGAGUCCACGACAACUAAAAUUGAAGAUAUCGUCAGUCGUCAUUUGACUCAUUUCGUUACUCAACUAAGUUUACUAUUUAGCGUACUAACAAAAACCUAGCAAAAACUUCAAGCAAAAAAGCAUUCGACACUUAUCUUUUUAAUCAAAAAAGCAUUUGACCCGCUUCUUUUUAAUCGAAAAAGCAUUCGACCCGCUUAUUUUUAAUCGAAAAGGCAUUCGACCUGCUUCUUUUUAAGCAAGAAAGCAUCCGACCCGCUUCUUAAGCGAAAAAAGCAUCCGACCGGUUUCUUUUUAAGCAAAAAAAGGUUUCUACCUGCUUUUUAAGCGCUAAAGCAUUCGACCCGUUUCUUUU
This 372-nucleotide long non-coding RNA is filed under the name Helianthus annuus (common sunflower). RNAcentral's name for it is "sRNA HanXRQr2_Chr11g0477131". Lineage: Eukaryota; Viridiplantae; Streptophyta; Magnoliopsida; Asterales; Asteraceae. The record is from RNAcentral.